Molecule: long non-coding RNA, 578 nt
Filed under: Calidris pugnax (ruff)
Lineage: Eukaryota; Metazoa; Chordata; Aves; Charadriiformes; Scolopacidae
Description: lncRNA (ENSCPUG00000018645.1)
Source: RNAcentral
GGCUGCGGAGACUUUAAAGGGGGCGCGCGCAGCCUGGCGGGGCCUUCACCUGGCGGCGGUAACGGCCGCCAAACAGGCCAAGAGAUGCCACCGCCUCGUCGUUUCCCCAUGGUUCCAUACACCAAUCAAGCGAGCCAUCGUGAUUAGUGACUGUGCUAAUCAGCAUCACCCACAGAUCGUGGCUUUUCCCAGAAAAAAUGCCCUUCCUGAGGCUGGGAAACUGAAAUUUUUCUUGCGGUCUGUUGACAAGACAGGAUCCCGUCUCGCCUUGCGGAAUUUUGUAAGUUUUUGUCUCUCGAGAACCACUUAAAGUACCUCAGGCUGCUGAAUUUUAAUCAGAGGAACACACAGAAUCUUUCAGUGCAGUUUGACAUUGACGCAUAGCAGCCAAAUUUCAGAGAUCUCAUCAUCAAUAACCAACAGCUCCUCGCUGCGUCUUGUAUUUUAGGUUCUUGGACUCUGACAGAUUUCCUUUUAUUCCCAGCUCCUCGCUGACACGGGAAGUCUGGCAAAAUUCUGAUCUGAGCCUAUACAUCUUGUUGUCCCCUUGUCAUCUCUUGAUGCUGGUUUCAGAGGCA